Small nucleolar RNA from Cyanistes caeruleus (blue tit), 126 nucleotides. Lineage: Eukaryota; Metazoa; Chordata; Aves; Passeriformes; Paridae. The record is from Ensembl.
UGGUCAUUACCAAGGCUGCUGGGAUGUUACUGUUUCUGGUGAGCUGUGGACAUGACCAUAAAGCAAAUCCACCAGACUCCUGUGUUGCCACACAUUUGUGUGGUACCAAGUCUGCUGGGAAUAAAG